RNAcentral lists this transfer RNA (73 nucleotides) under Darevskia saxicola. RNAcentral describes it as "tRNA-Trp". It matches the Rfam family "tRNA". Rfam says of the family: Transfer RNA (tRNA) molecules are approximately 80 nucleotides in length. The record is from RNAcentral. Lineage: Eukaryota; Metazoa; Chordata; Lepidosauria; Squamata; Lacertidae.
AGAAGCUUAGGUUACUGUCUCAAACCAGAAGCCUUCAAAGCCUCAAACAGGGUCUCAAACCCCCUAGCUUCUG